UCAGAGCCCGUUAAUGGGUGAUGGCGUGCCUUUUGUAGAAUGAACCGGCGAGUUACGAUUUGAUGCAAGGUUAAGCAGUAAAUGUGGAGCCGUAGCGAAAGCGAGUCUGAAUAGGGCGUUUAGUAUUUGGUCGUAGACCCGAAACCAGGUGAUCUACCCUUGGUCAGGUUGAAGUUCAGGUAACACUGAAUGGAGGACCGAACCGACUUACGUUGAAAAGUGAGCGGAUGAACUGAGGGUAGCGGAGAAAUUCCAAUCGAACCUGGAGAUAGCUGGUUCUCUCCGAAAUAGCUUUAGGGCUAGCCUCAAGUGAUGAUUAUUGGAGGUAGAGCACUGUUUGGACGAGGGGCCCCUCUCGGGUUACCGAAUUCAGACAAACUCCGAAUGCCAAUUAAUUUAACUUGGGAGUCAGAACAUGGGUGAUAAGGUCCGUGUUCGAAAGGGAAACAGCCCAGACCACCAGCUAAGGUCCCAAAAUAUAUGUUAAGUGGAAAAGGAUGUGGCGUUGCCCAGACAACUAGGAUGUUGGCUUAGAAGCAGCCAUCAUUUAAAGAGUGCGUAAUAGCUCACUAGUCGAGUGACACUGCGCCGAAAAUGUACCGGGGCUAAACAUAUUACCGAAGCUGUGGAUUGUCCUUUGGACAAUGGUAGGAGAGCGUUCUAAGGGCGUUGAAGCAUGAUCGUAAGGACAUGUGGAGCGCUUAGAAGUGAGAAUGCCGGUGUGAGUAGCGAAAGACGGGUGAGAAUCCCGUCCACCGAUUGACUAAGGUUUCCAGAGGAAGGCUCGUCCGCUCUGGGUUAGUCGGGUCCUAAGCUGAGGCCGACAGGCGUAGGCGAUGGAUAACAGGUUGAUAUUCCUGUACCACCUAUA
Molecule: ribosomal RNA, 871 nt
Filed under: Staphylococcus aureus
Lineage: Bacteria; Bacillati; Bacillota; Bacilli; Caryophanales; Staphylococcaceae
Description: partial 23S ribosomal RNA
Rfam family: Bacterial large subunit ribosomal RNA
Source: RNAcentral